This 6425-nucleotide unclassified non-coding RNA is filed under the name Hevea brasiliensis (rubber tree). Lineage: Eukaryota; Viridiplantae; Streptophyta; Magnoliopsida; Malpighiales; Euphorbiaceae. The record is from RNAcentral.
UAGGAGGCUGAGUUUGACCUAAAAGCCCACUCGCUCUCUGCGCCCUUGCCGUAUGAAAGCCUUGCACUCCCCCAAAGCAUCCCAUAAUCUAGCACGCUCGACGCACGCAGAACAGGGACCCUUCCUCCUGUGGCCCCACUAUUUCUCUGCAUUCUAGGAUCUAAGAGUGCAUGUAGAACUUUGUUGAUUGAUUUGUUGGAGGAUUCUUUUAUGUCUAUAAGUUCAACAUGUUUUGCUAAGAAGAAAAUACAAAUACAGACAGUUAUAUACUCGUUGGCGGACACUUUAGUUUGCAUUUACAUAUGAGAUGGGUUCUCGAGGAAGGCCACUAUUUGAUCUUAAUGAACCCCCUGCUGAGGAUGAUGAGGAGACUGAUCGCAUCAUCUGCUUGCAGCCGCAGAAGGCACUUCCCACUGUAAAUCCAAACCCUUCUGACUCGUUUGCAGCAUCAAUAGUUCCCCAAGGAAUAAAAAUUUGCAAUGCUUUCUCACAUGCAUCUUCUGUGUCGGGUUUUCAGCCUUUUGUUAGGCCCAAAGUUGCCCAAGGCCCUGAAGCAGGUUCUGAACAGAAAAAAAGUGGGGAUCAGAAUCCCAAGUUUGCAUCAUCAGUAAAAUCAAGUAACGGUGAUGACGCAAAAGCAUCAUCAUCAUUAGUUUCGGGUUCUGCAGAUCCUGAAGCUGUGGAAAGAGAAGAAGGAGAGUGGUCUGACAUAGAAGGCUCUGCUGAUGCAUCUGCUGGCAAUAGCCUCCAUGAGUUGGGCAAAGCUUCACAAGAUCAAGGCAAGUCUGAGUUGAUGCACUGUAAUGCUUCUGGUAUGCGUACUGAGAACAUUUCUGGCAGUACCGAGGUUACUGAUAAUAACAGGUUUGAAAUCAGUGGCCGGGCUUCUCAGGUACUGGAUCAGGUUAUGAAUGAUCAGAAAAGUAACAACAGUCAAAAUUCACAUAGCAAUUCUAACGGUGAUGCAUCCGUGGAUGGUCAGGAAGAAACUGCAUUAGUUCCAAAAGCAAGAGAGGUUAAAGGUGUUGAAGCAAGUCAUGCGCUCAAGUGGGCCAAUAAUAUGGGGAAGAGAAAGAUAGACCAACAUAAAGAAGCAAUGUUAGGAAAGAAGCGAAAUAGACAGACCAUGUUAAUUAAUAUAGAUGAAGUCAAGCAAGCAGGCCCUAUCAAAUCUUCAACACCAAGAAGGCCGCCAACUACCGUUCGUACUGUGAAGGAAGUUCGCACUGUCCCUCCCCCUGUUGAACAUGUUGGGGAAAGGCAUAUGCAUCCGAUGAUUAAGGAUCAGAAACAAGUUGACCUAUCAUCUAAUGAAGGGGGCACUUCAUCUGAAUCCUGCCAGCCCAAAAAUGAAUGUAAUGGUGAUACAAGUUCUGGACAACAAGGGAAGCCUAGGAGGUUGAACAGCGAUACUGAUUUUUCUGGAGAAGGACACCCACCACCCCUUCCAAGACAGAGUUCAUGGAAGCAGCCUGCUGAUUUGAGGCAGCCAAAGAACUCACAAUUUCAUAAUAGGAAGCCAGCUCUGAUGAGCCAAAGCUCCAUAGAUUCAAAGUUGGGAAACAGGAAACAACCCCCUGCCAAGAAGCCAGCUCUAGUCAGCACACCAUAUCAAGACACUUCAGUGGAACGUCUCAUACGGGAGGUGACUAAUGAGAAGUUUUGGCAUCACCCAGGUAUUAAAUUUAAGAUGUGCACAUCUCUGCUCGUGUUUUUGUUACAGUGACUGUUACAUAUCCUUGUUUUGGUCUUGUGGACCUAUUUCUUGGAGCAAAGGAGGUUUUAAAAGCUAAGAACAUGGUAACCUCAUAAUAGAAUGGUAGAGAACAAAGUAGAGAUAUUACCGGCAGUAGAUAUUGUCGGCCAAUUAAUUGAAAACUUGGGACAGUUAAGUUUCACCUUAGACCAUUGGUUUCCUUAGCUAACCAUGUGCGUUAAUGCCUCUUAACCAAUUUUUUCAUCCCCUAUUAGGAGAGCAAUUGUGGGUCAGUUGCAAUUUCUUUUGCUCUUCCAUCAAUGAGUAAAAGCUGAUGUUUGUAUUGCUCAGGCCCAUGCAUAGCAGAGGAGAUUCCCACAGCUAAAUGUGGUGGGCGGCAUUCAACCGUCCGGAGAGCCUCUUGGAUGCAAGAUGAAAUAAACUUGUGAUUUUUAAGUUAUUGCUAUUCAAAUUUUCCAUCGCUUUCUCUAAUUUUGUGGCAUGGUUUACUUCUGAUUCUAGAUUUUUGUUUUGCUACAUGCAUAAAGCCUCAUGUUUUCAUUCGGUUGCAUAAACUUAAAAAAGUUUCGUAGAGGUUUGCUAGCCAAUUUGGAUGUCUUAGGAUGUGAUCAUAGUGUGUACCUUUAGUUUUUGCUAAUAUUGUGCUAGUUGUUUGAGGUAUUAUCAUUAUAUACAUCUAUGAUUGUGUUUUAUUUUGUUGCAAUUUGUUGUUUCUUGCGACUGUUUCACACCCACUGUUGUCUUAAUGGUUAUUGCUUCUCUCUUUGCUUGGGAGCUCUUUUCUUGUUCUAGUUUCCUCUUUCAUUGUUUGGCAUUAGUAACUUUAAAUUGACUGAUAUAUUAGUGUUGAUAUGCAUCAGAGGACUCUGAGCUUCAAUGUGUUCCUGGACGGUUUGAAUCUGUUGAGGAAUAUGUCAGGGUGUUUGAGCCUUUGCUUUUUGAAGAAUGCCGGGCACAACUUUAUAGCACAUGGGAAGAGUUGACUGAAACAAAUGCACAUGUAAUGGUUCGUGUAAAGAGCAUUGAAAGACGAGAAAGAGGAUGGUAUGAUGUUAUAGUCCUUCCUGUGAGUGAGUGCAAAUGGACAUUCAAGGAGGGUGAUGUUGCAGUUCUUUCAACCCCUAGCCUUAGGCCUGGAACAGGUUUGUUAUAAGAGUUGCAUAUAUGUCAUUAUGAUUCAUUCCAAGGAUUUAACUUCUUUUGACUUUGUAGUUCACAAUUAUUAAUUCUUAUCAUGUCAAGCAGUCAGAUCCAAGAGGAGUAACACCUCAUCAAAUGAAGAUGAUGAUGAGCCUGAGAUCAGCGGACGUGUGGCUGGUACUGUUAGACGACAUAUCCCUUUGGAUACUCGUGAUCCUCCUGGUGCAAUCCUUCAUUUUUUUGUUGGGGACUCAUAUGACCCUUACAGUAAGGCUGAUGAAGGUCAUAUUCUGAGGAAACUCCAGCCCAGAGGCACCUGGUAUCUAGCUGUGCUUGGUUCUCUUGCUACCACUCAGAGAGAGUAUGUCGCCUUGCAUGCAUUUUGCCGUCUCAAUCCACAGAUGCAAACUGCAAUCUUGAAGCCCAGUCCUGAACACUUCCCAAAAUACGAGCAACAGACCCCUGCCAUGCCUGAAUGCUUCACACAGAAUUUUGUUGAUCAUUUGCAUCAGACCUUCAAUGGACCUCAGCUGGCAGCAAUACAAUGGGCUGCAAUGCAUACAGCUGCUGGUACAAGUAGUGGUAUGACAAAGAGGCAAGAUCCAUGGCCCUUUACUCUUGUUCAAGGGCCUCCGGGAACAGGUAAGACACACACAGUCUGGGGAAUGCUAAAUGUCAUCCAUUUGGUCCAAUAUCAGCAUUACUACACUUCUUUGCUUAAGAAACUAGCACCCCAGAGCUACAAGCAAUCCAAUGAGAGCAAUUCUAACAACAUUACAAUAGGUUCAAUUGACGAAGUUCUUCAUAACAUGGACCAGAAUCUCUUCCACUCUCUUUCAAAGCUCUGUCCAAAGCCCAGAAUGUUAGUUUGUGCUCCUUCUAAUGCUGCAACAGAUGAACUUCUCUCUCGUGUUCUUGAUCGUGGUUUUAUUGAUGGUGAGAUGAAAGUUUAUCGACCUGAUGUGGCUAGAGUUGGGGUUGAUUCACAAUCACGUGCUGCCCAGGCAGUUUCAGUUGAGAGGAGAACUGAACAAUUAUUAGUCAAGAAUCGUGAAGAAGUCUCAAAAUGGAUGCAAGAUUUAAGAGGUCAGGAAGCAUAUUUCUCUGGGCAAAUAGCUGAUCUUCAAAACAAACUUACCAUGGCAGCUGCUGAUGGUCGUUCCCAAGGAUCUGUUGGUGUUGAUCCUGAUGUUCUUAUGGCUCGCGAUCAAAACCGAGAUGCUUUGCUGCAGAACCUUGCAGCAGCUGUUGAAAACAGAGAUAAAGUUCUAGUUGAGAUAUCUCGCCUUCUUAUUUUAGAGGCCAGGUUCCGUGGUGGUAGCAACUUCAAUCUGGAGGAAGCCCGCUCAAGUCUGGAGGCAAGUUUUGCCAAUGAGGCUGAAAUUGUUUUUACCACUGUCUCAAGCAGUGGUCGCAAGUUGUUCUCUCGACUUACACAUGGUUUUGAUAUGGUAGUUAUUGAUGAGGCUGCCCAAGCCAGUGAAGUAGCUGUUCUUCCUCCCCUAGCUCUUGGUGCUGCUCGUUGUGUUCUUGUAGGGGAUCCCCAGCAGCUUCCUGCAACAGUUAUCAGCAAGGCAGCUGGGACCUUGAUGUAUAGUAGAAGCCUUUUUGAAAGGUUUCAACAAGCAGGAUGUCCAACGAUGUUAUUAUCUGUGCAGUAUAGGAUGCAUCCUCAAAUUCGAGAUUUUCCUUCACGGCACUUCUACCAAGGCCGUCUUACUGACAGUGAAAGUGUUGUUAACUUAUCUGAUGAGAUGUAUUACAAGGACCCUUUACUUAGACCUUACCUAUUCUAUGAUGUUACUUAUGGGCGGGAGUCCCACAGAGGUGGAUCUGUAUCUUAUCAGAACAUACAUGAAGCACAGUUUUGUCUUCAGCUGUAUGAGCAUCUUCAGAAAACUCUGAAAUCCUUUGGUCUGGGGAGAAUCUCUGUUGGCAUAAUCACGCCAUACAAGCUGCAACUGAAAUGCCUUCAAUAUGAAUUUUCAGCAAUUUUAAAGUCAGAAGAAGGGAAAGAUAUCUAUAUCAAUACUGUAGAUGCUUUCCAAGGCCAGGAACGAGAUGUGAUUAUUAUGUCUUGUGUACGUGCCUCAAAUCAUGGUGUUGGCUUUGUUGCUGAUAUCCGCCGGAUGAAUGUUGCUCUCACACGUGCGAGAAGGGCAUUAUGGGUUAUGGGAAAUGCAAAUUCUCUGGUGCAAUCUGAUGAUUGGGCUGCAUUGAUUGAUGAUGCUAAAGCAAGAAGCUGUUAUAUGGACAUGGACUCUCUCCCCAAAGAUUUUUUCGUUCCAAAGGGAAUGCAGGGGAAAACCAACAAUACAAGGGGUUCGAGGUUAGGUGGACCAAGACACAGAUCUAUGGAUAUCCACAUGGAGUCCAGAUCAGGAACGCCAUCAGAAGAUGAUGAUAGUUCAGGUGCACCUGUGAUUUCUAGGAAUGGGAGUUAUAGGCCCUUUAAGCCACUAAUGGACAAUUCAUUAGAUGAUUUUGAUCAAUCAGGUGAUAAAUCAAGGGAUGCAUGGCAAUAUGGCAUACAGAAGAAACAAAGUUCUUCUGGGGUUAAGAGAGACUCCUAGGUGUCUUGAUAAAUGCCUGCAAAUUCUUUUGGCAUUUGGGAUGGCGUUCAAUGCUAUUGAAUCUCUACAGUUGUGAUGCUGUCUCUUAGUGCCAGGAAGUCCUCGGUACCUGGGCUUCUUAUGCUCUGAUUGCAUCUGCUAAACACAAUUUGAAACAAGGGCCUAACUCUAACUUCUUACGCUGAUCGCAUUUGCUAAACAGAACAUAAAACAAGCUGGAAGUGCUGCAUUUAUAUUGGAUGCUUGGAGUGGAUGAACAGUGCUUUUGCAAUAGAUCGGUUCUGAUUGGAUUGGUUCCUGUGAUUUCUUGCUGAGAGAUGGGUACUUUUGAGUUAGUUGUGGGCGCCUUCAUCCACCUUCUCACUGGUGUGUCAGUAAGAAAUUAUUCUGUUGCACGCAAUUAACAUGUCUAAUUUGAACUUUUGUCUGUUGAUCACUGGACGGUGGGUAUACGAAUACCAGGAAUCAGUUGGUGGCAUCAAGAAACAUUUAUUAUUUAGAAGCUGAGGUGCCACCAUAUGGCGAUGGAGCUUACCCCACCAUAUUGACAUUUUUUCUGAUGUCUUUAGUUGAUGUGGGGUGUGAGGAGGCUUUCCAGUUAUACAUUGUGUUGUAGCUUUAUUCUUAAAGGAAGGAAGCUAACUCCUUGGUUCUCAAUUCUUGGAGAGUGUGAGCACUUUAAUAUUGAUGUAGGCACAUUCUUUGGAUGCAUGUAGGAUACUGGACUGUUAACCAAAUAUUCUUUUCUUCCAGUUGUUUUUUUGAAGGGGAAGUAAGAGUACAUGCCUGCAACACAUGGGAAACUCUUAAAUUUAUGUAUAGAAAACGGAAGGAGAGUACAGGAUUUGUACAACAAUACUCAAAUGCUAGAGGCAUUUGUUGACUUUUACUGACUUGUACAUAAGUCUUCAAAUAUGAUUUAUUUUUGGCAUAAUGAGAAGUAAUUCCUUUUUGCCCCUCGUGUUUUAGCUGUGUCUUGACGAUAUAAUAUUUGC